GACGAACGCUGGCGGCGUGCUUAACACAUGCAAGUCGAACGGAAAGGCGCUGCUUUUGUGGGGUGCUCGAGUGGCGAAGGGGGGAGUAACACGUGAGUAAAAUGUCCUUGACAGUGGGGUAACUUCAGGAAAAUGGGGCUCAUACCGGAUAGGAUAUCCUGCUGCAUGGUGGGGGUUGGUAAGUUUCGGCGGUUGUGGAUGGAAUAGCUGCUUAUGAGCUUGUUGGUGGGGUAGUGGCUUACCACGGUUGUGACGGGUAGCCGGCCUGAGAGGGUGACCGGCCACCUGGGUACUGCGGUACGGCCCAGACUCCUACGUGAGGCAGCAGUGGGGAAUAUUGCACAAUGGGCGGAAGCCUGAUGCAGCAACGCCGCGUGCGGGAUGACGUCCUUCGGGUUGAAAACCGCUUUCGCCGGUGACGAAGCGUGAGUGACGGUAAUGGGUAAAGAAGCACCGGCUAACUACGUG
RNAcentral lists this ribosomal RNA (468 nucleotides) under uncultured bacterium. Its description in RNAcentral is "partial 16S ribosomal RNA". It matches the Rfam family "Bacterial small subunit ribosomal RNA", at positions 28 to 507 of the family's 1533-position model. The record is from RNAcentral.